This 64-nucleotide ribosomal RNA is filed under the name uncultured organism. Its description in RNAcentral is "partial 16S ribosomal RNA". The record is from RNAcentral.
AGGACUUGACAUCCAGAGAAUCCUGUGGAAACACGGGAGUGCCCCGACCGGGGAGCUCUGAGAC